This 484-nucleotide ribosomal RNA is filed under the name uncultured bacterium. RNAcentral's name for it is "partial 16S ribosomal RNA". It matches the Rfam family "Bacterial small subunit ribosomal RNA", at positions 30 to 507 of the family's 1533-position model. The record is from RNAcentral.
AUUGAACGCUGGCGGCAGGCCUAACACAUGCAAGUCGAGCGGAUGAAGGGAGCUUGCUCCUGGAUUCAGCGGCGGACGGGUGAGUAAUGCCUAGGAAUCUGCCUGGUAGUGGGGGAUAACGUCCGGAAACGGGCGCUAAUACCGCAUACGUCCUGAGGGAGAAAGUGGGGGAUCUUCGGACCUCACGCUAUCAGAUGAGCCUAGGUCGGAUUAGCUAGUUGGUGGGGUAAAGGCCUACCAAGGCGACGAUCCGUAACUGGUCUGAGAGGAUGAUCAGUCACACUGGAACUGAGACACGGUCUAGACUCCUACGGGAGGCAGCAGUGGGGAAUAGUGGACGAUGGGCGAAAGCCUGAUCCAGCCAUGCCGCGUGUGUGAAGAAGGUCUUCGGAUUGUAAAGCACUUUAAGUGGGGAGGAAGGGCAGUAAGUUAAUACCUUGCUGUUUUGACGUUACCAACAGAAUAAGCACCGGCUAACUUCGUG